RNAcentral lists this small RNA (29 nucleotides) under Bombyx mori (domestic silkworm). Its description in RNAcentral is "ovarian small RNA-23729". The record is from RNAcentral. Lineage: Eukaryota; Metazoa; Arthropoda; Insecta; Lepidoptera; Bombycidae.
UAUCUAAACAUUGCUGCCAUCUAAUAGGA